Molecule: ribosomal RNA, 406 nt
Filed under: uncultured bacterium
Lineage: Bacteria
Description: bacterial SSU rRNA
Rfam family: Bacterial small subunit ribosomal RNA
Source: RNAcentral
UAAGGAAUAUUGGUCAAUGGACGCAAGUCUGAACCAGCCAUGCCGCGUGAAGGAUGAAGGUCCUCUGGAUUGUAAACUUCUUUUAUCUGGGACGAAAACGGGAUUUUUAUCUCAAUUGACGGUACCAGAGGAAUAAGCGCCGGCUAACUCCGUGCCAGCAGCCGCGGUAAUACGGAGGGUGCGAGCGUUAUCCGGAUUUCCUGGGUUUAAAGGGUGCGUAGGUGGGCUUAUAAGUCAGUGGUGAAAUCUCCGAGCUUAACUUGGAAACUGCCGUUGAUACUAUAGAUCUUGAAUUAUCUGGAGGUAAGCGGGAUAUGUCAUGUAGCGGUGAAAUGCUUAGAUAUGACAUAGAACACCAAUUGCGAAGGCAGCUUACUACAUAUAAAUUGACGCUGAGGCACGAAAG